UACGGGGGAUGCAAGCGUUAUCCGGAAUUAUUGGGCGUAAAGCGCCUGUAGGUGGCUUAUUAAGUCCGUUGUUAAAGGUUAGGGCUCAACCCUAAAAAAGCAAUGGAAACUGGUAAGCUUGAGUAUGGCAGGGGUAGAGGGAAUUUCUAGUGUAGCGGUGAAAUGCGUAGAUAUUAGAAAGAACACCGGUGGCGAAAGCGCUCUACUGGACCAUUACUGACACUCAGAGGCGAAAGCUAGGGGAGCAAAAGGG
This 253-nucleotide ribosomal RNA is filed under the name uncultured bacterium. Its description in RNAcentral is "partial 16S ribosomal RNA". It matches the Rfam family "Bacterial small subunit ribosomal RNA", at positions 524 to 776 of the family's 1533-position model. The record is from RNAcentral.